GACGGAGGAUGCAAGCGUUAUCCGGAAUGAUUGGGCGUAAAGCGUCCGCAGGUGGCAGUUCAAGUCUGCUGUCAAAGACCGGGGCUUAACUUCGGAAAGGCAGUGGAAACUGAACAGCUAGAGUAUGGUAGGGGCAGAGGGAAUUCCUGGUGUAGCGGUGAAAUGCGUAGAGAUCAGGAAGAACAUCGGUGGCGAAGGCGCUCUGCUGGACCAUAACUGACACUCAGGAACGAAAGCUAGGGGAGCGAAUGGG
RNAcentral lists this ribosomal RNA (253 nucleotides) under uncultured bacterium. RNAcentral's name for it is "partial 16S ribosomal RNA". It matches the Rfam family "Bacterial small subunit ribosomal RNA", at positions 524 to 776 of the family's 1533-position model. The record is from RNAcentral.